Molecule: small nuclear RNA, 119 nt
Organism: Hibiscus syriacus
Lineage: Eukaryota; Viridiplantae; Streptophyta; Magnoliopsida; Malvales; Malvaceae
Product: U5 spliceosomal RNA
Exons: 1
Source: RefSeq, a predicted model, not a curated record
GAGCUGUGCGGUUAGCACAGAGCAAAUUAUUCUUUCGCCUUUUACUUAAGAAUACCGUGUGCUCUCCACUUCAAUCGGCAUAUGCCUAUUUUUGGAAGGGUAUUCCUCGUUGAAUGCCC